This 239-nucleotide ribosomal RNA is filed under the name uncultured bacterium. RNAcentral describes it as "partial 16S ribosomal RNA". It matches the Rfam family "Bacterial small subunit ribosomal RNA", at positions 330 to 589 of the family's 1533-position model. The record is from RNAcentral.
ACCAACCUCGGGAGGCAGCAGUGGGGAAUAUUGCACAAUGGGGGAAACCCUGAUGCAGCAACGCCGCGUGAAGGAAGACGGUUUUCGGAUUGUAAACUUCUGUUCUUAGUGAAGAAAAAUGACGGUAGCUAAGGAGCAAGCCACGGCUAACUACGUGCCAGCAGCCGCGGUAAUACGUAGGUGGCAAGCGUUGUCCGGAAUUACUGGGUGUAAAGGGAGCGCAGGCGGGAAGCCAAGUC